Oryctolagus cuniculus (rabbit) is the source of this 98-nucleotide small nuclear RNA. Lineage: Eukaryota; Metazoa; Chordata; Mammalia; Lagomorpha; Leporidae. The record is from Ensembl.
CUGCUUAAGCAGCAAAUAUGCCAAAACUGGAAUGAUACAGACUGGCACGGCCUUUGCAUAAGGAUGGCACACAAAUUUGUGAAGCAUUCCACACUUUU